GAGUGUUACCGCUCUUUUAGAAUCUGUCUAGUAGAUUUUCCAGCACUGGCUGGGCAGCCCUU
This 62-nucleotide small nuclear RNA is filed under the name Ornithorhynchus anatinus (platypus). RNAcentral describes it as "U7 small nuclear RNA (ENSOANG00000027727.2)". It matches the Rfam family "U7 small nuclear RNA". From Rfam's summary of the family: Animal histone pre-mRNAs are spliced by a different mechanism than nuclear pre-mRNAs and self-splicing introns. This processing involves the U7 snRNP, which contains only one RNA species: U7. The 5' end of U7 RNA is thought to base-pair to a conserved spacer element downstream of the cleavage site in histone pre-mRNA. Lineage: Eukaryota; Metazoa; Chordata; Mammalia; Monotremata; Ornithorhynchidae. The record is from Rfam by way of RNAcentral.